RNAcentral lists this ribosomal RNA (478 nucleotides) under uncultured bacterium. RNAcentral describes it as "partial 16S ribosomal RNA". It matches the Rfam family "Bacterial small subunit ribosomal RNA", at positions 28 to 523 of the family's 1533-position model. The record is from RNAcentral.
GACGAACGCUGGCGGCGUGCUUAACACAUGCAAGUCGAACGGUAAGGCCCUUCGGGGUACACGAGUGGCGAACGGGUGAGUAACACGUGGGUGAUCUGCCCUGCACUUCGGGAUAAGCCUGGGAAACUGGGUCUAAUACCGGAUAGGACUCCUGGCUUCAUGGUUGGGGGUGGAAAGCUUUUGCGGUGUGGGAUGGGCCCGCGGCCUAUCAGCUUGUUGGAGGGGUAAUGGCCUACCAAGGCGACGACGGGUAGCCGGCCUGAGAGGGUGACCGGUCACGCUGGGACGGAGAUACGGCCCAGACUCCUACGUGAGGCAGCAGUGGGGAAUAUUGCACAAUGGGCGCAAGCCCGAUGCAGCGACGCCGCGUGAGGGAUGACGGCCUUCGGGUUGUAAACCUCUUUCAGCUAUGACGAAGCGCAAGUGACGGUAGUAGCAGAAGAAGGACCGGCCAACUACGUGCCAGCCGCCGCGGUAA